This 327-nucleotide ribosomal RNA is filed under the name uncultured Acidobacteriota bacterium. Its description in RNAcentral is "bacterial SSU rRNA". It matches the Rfam family "Bacterial small subunit ribosomal RNA", at positions 32 to 351 of the family's 1533-position model. The record is from RNAcentral. Lineage: Bacteria; Pseudomonadati; Acidobacteriota.
AAUCAACGCUGGCGGCGUGCCUAACACAUGCAAGUCGAACGAGAAAGCGGGGGCAACUCCGUGAGUAAAGUGGCAGACGGGUGAGUAACACGUGAACAACCUACCCUUGAGUGGGGAAUAACACCGCGAAAGCGGUGCUAAUACCGCAUAACAUCCCAGGGUCGCAUGGCUUGGGGAUCAAUAGCGAAAGUUGCUUGAGGAGGGGUUCGCGGCUGAUUAGCUAGUUGGUGAGGUAACGGCCCACCAAGGCAACGAUCAGUAGCCGGCCUGAGAGGGCGAACGGCCACACUGGAACUGAGACACGGUCCAGACUCCUACGGGAGGCUG